This 179-nucleotide non-coding RNA is filed under the name Hespellia stercorisuis DSM 15480. Its description in RNAcentral is "6S / SsrS RNA". It matches the Rfam family "6S / SsrS RNA". Rfam says of the family: E. coli 6S RNA was the first non coding RNA to be sequenced, but its function was unknown until recently. It consists of 184 nucleotides that fold into an extended hairpin structure with a large single-stranded internal bulge. The record is from Rfam by way of RNAcentral. Lineage: Bacteria; Bacillati; Bacillota; Clostridia; Lachnospirales; Lachnospiraceae.
CAACACCUGAGAUGUUCGAUAACUCUUGUAUUUUGAACCUACAAUUACUUUAAACGGGAUUUCAUUAUAUCUGUAAUAUGUCAAGCCUCCGAUUGCAGUGGAAGACAGAAAAGCAGACGCGAUUGCCCACCUAGCUGUGGCUAGGAGUCAAAAUACGGAACCGGCAUCUUGGGCAAAUA